UAACCCUUUGUUGUCCGACUCUGUUGCCUCCGGGGCGACCCUGCCUUCGGGCGGGGGCUCCGGGUGGACACUUCAAACUCUUGCGUAACUUUGCAGUCUGAGUAAACUUAAUUAAUAAAUUAAAACUUUUAACAACGGAUCUCUUGGUUCUGGCAUCGAUGAAGAACGCAGCGAAAUGCGAUAAGUAAUGUGAAUUGCAGAAUUCAGUGAAUCAUCGAAUCUUUGAACGCACAUUGCGCCCCCUGGUAUUCCGGGGGGCAUGCCUGUUCGAGCGUCAUUUCACCACUCAAGCCUCGCUUGGUAUUGGGCAACGCGGUCCGCCGCGUGCCUCAAAUCGACCGGCUGGGUCUUCUGUCCCCUAAGCGUUGUGGAAACUAUUCGCUAAAGGGUGCUCGGGAGGCUACGCCGUAAAACAAACCCAUUUCUAAGGUUGACCUCGGAUCAGGUAGGGAUACCCGCUGAACUUAAGCAUAU
This 474-nucleotide ribosomal RNA is filed under the name Cladosporium cladosporioides. RNAcentral describes it as "eukaryotic LSU rRNA". The stretch from base 124 to 277 matches the Rfam family "5.8S ribosomal RNA". The record is from RNAcentral. Lineage: Eukaryota; Fungi; Ascomycota; Dothideomycetes; Cladosporiales; Cladosporiaceae.